Molecule: long non-coding RNA, 442 nt
Organism: Hyaena hyaena (striped hyena)
Lineage: Eukaryota; Metazoa; Chordata; Mammalia; Carnivora; Hyaenidae
Exons: 3
Source: RefSeq, a predicted model, not a curated record
CCUUCUUUCUGACCUCCAAAGGCAUAAAUAAAGGGCAAAUCAGGACAACAGGAAGAACAGAAGAGAACUCCCUGGGAAGAAGAAAACAGUACCAAUGACAGCUUGUCAGCAAAUAACCUCAGGAAAUGCGUGCUGGAGUGUCGAGAGCCAAAGUAUAACACGAUAUUCAAAUACAACUAGGACCUCACUCCUCAGCUGGAGUCUGGCUUCAGGAUCCGGAAAUCAGAGUCUGUGCUUCAAAUGGAUGAAACUGCAGAGUCUGGACCUAAAUGGAGGAAACAUAAAUGAACAGAUACAUGUUUGUUUGGUUUUGGUAAAACUACUUAAUACUCAAGAGAAUCAAUUUGGCAACGUUUCUGUAUUUUUUUCCUUUGAAAUGUAGUACUAUUUAAAGAAACAAAUGGUCUACAUAGUCAAAAGGACACAACACAUUUUCAAAUAA